Molecule: non-coding RNA, 111 nt
Organism: Acanthosepion pharaonis
Lineage: Eukaryota; Metazoa; Mollusca; Cephalopoda; Sepiida; Sepiidae
Source: the annotation of a GenBank genome assembly
UACGGCCGCAUCAAUUUGAAACGCCGGUUCCCGUAAGACCACCGAAGUUAAGCAACGUCUAACCUGGUCACUACCAAGAUCGGUGACUGCAUCGGAAUAUCAGGAGCUGUG